CCUACGGGGGGCUGCAGUAGGGAAUAUUGGACAAUGGGCGCAAGCCUGAUCCAGCCAUGCCGCGUGAGUGAAGAAGGCCCUCGGGUUGUAAAGCUCUUUUGUCCGGAAAGAAAAGCAAUCGGUUAAUACCCGGUUGUUCUGACGGUACCGGAAGAAUAAGCACCGGCUAACUUCGUGCCAGCAGCCGCGGUAAUACGAAGGGUGCAUGCGUUACUCGGAAUUACCGUGGGUGAAGCGUGAGUAGUGGUUUGAACGCCCUGUGCUCAACCUGGGAAUGGCAUUGGAUACUGGCGGGCUAGAGUGCGGUAGAGGGUAGUGGAAGUCCCGGUGUAGCAGUGAAAUGCGUAGAGAUCGGGAGGAACAUCUGUGGCGAAGGCGACUGCCUGGACCAGCACUGACACUGAGGCACGAAAGCGUGGGGAGCAAACAGGAUUAGAUACCCUUGUAGUC
Molecule: ribosomal RNA, 450 nt
Filed under: uncultured bacterium
Lineage: Bacteria
Description: partial 16S ribosomal RNA
Rfam family: Bacterial small subunit ribosomal RNA
Source: RNAcentral